RNAcentral lists this ribosomal RNA (760 nucleotides) under uncultured Prevotella sp. RNAcentral's name for it is "bacterial SSU rRNA". It matches the Rfam family "Bacterial small subunit ribosomal RNA", at positions 28 to 776 of the family's 1533-position model. The record is from RNAcentral. Lineage: Bacteria; Pseudomonadati; Bacteroidota; Bacteroidia; Bacteroidales; Prevotellaceae.
GAUGAACGCUGGCUACAGGCUUAACACAUGCAAGUCGAGGGGAAACGACGGGGAAGCUUGCUUCCCCGGGCGUCGACCGGCGCACGGGUGAGUAACGCGUAUCCAACCUGCCUCUGACUGAGGGAUAACCCGUCGAAAGUCGGCCUAAUACCUCAUGGUAUCGUCUGCGGGCAUCCAACGACGAUUAAAGAUUUCAUCGGUCAGGGAUGGGGAUGCGUCUGAUUAGCUUGUUGGCGGGGUAAUGGCCCACCAAGGCUACGAUCAGUAGGGGUUCUGAGAGGAAGGUCCCCCACAUUGGAACUGAGACACGGUCCAAACUCCUACGGGAGGCAGCAGUGAGGAAUAUUGGUCAAUGGGCGAGAGCCUGAACCAGCCAAGUAGCGUGCAGGAAGACGGCCCUAUGGGUUGUAAACUGCUUUUAUGCGGGGAUAAAGUGAGGGACGUGUCCCUCAUUGCAGGUACCGCAUGAAUAAGGACCGGCUAAUUCCGUGCCAGCAGCCGCGGUAAUACGGAAGGUCCUGGCGUUAUCCGGAUUUAUUGGGUUUAAAGGGAGCGUAGGCCGUGGAUUAAGCGUAUUGUGAAAUGCAGGUGCUCAACGUCUGCACUGCAGCGCGAACUGGUCCACUUGAGUGUGCGCAACGCAGGCGGAAUUCGUCGUGUAGCGGUGAAAUGCUUAGAUAUGACGAAGAACUCCGAUUGCGGAGGCAGCUUGCGGGAGCACAACUGACGCUGAAGCUCGAAAGUGCGGGUAUCGAACAGG